This 206-nucleotide long non-coding RNA is filed under the name Elaeis guineensis (African oil palm). RNAcentral's name for it is "long non-coding RNA (EGUI_LNC047118)". Lineage: Eukaryota; Viridiplantae; Streptophyta; Magnoliopsida; Arecales; Arecaceae. The record is from RNAcentral.
CUUUUGAGGAUAUGCUUUAGAAACUGCUUGCUAUGUACUGAACAAGAUUUCAAGUAAGUCUAUCAAUAAAAUUCGAUAUAAGAUAUGGAUAGGGUGUAAGUCAGUACUCUCACACCUUAGGAUUUAGUGAUAUCCGACUUAUGUCAAAUAUUUAAAACAGAUAAGCUUGGACCCAGGUCUAAUAAGUAUUUAUUUGUAGGGUACCC